ACAUCCAGCGAACUUGGCAGAGAUGCCUUGGUGCCUUCGGGAACGCUGAGGACAGGUGCUGCAUGGCUGUCGUCAGCUCGUGUUGUGAAAUGUUGGGUUAAGUCCCGCAACGAGCGCAACCCUUAUCCUUUGUUGCCAGCGAUUCGGUCGGGAACUCAAAGGAGACUGCCGGUGAUAAACCGGAGGAAGGUGGGGAUGACGUCAAGUCAUCAUGGCCCUUACGAGUAGGGCUACACACGUGCUACAAUGGCGCAUACAAAGAGAAGCGACCUCGCGAGAGCAAGCGGACCUCAUAAAAGUGCGUCGUAGUCCGGAUCGGAGUCUGCAACUCGACUCCGUGAAGUCGGAAUCGCUAGUAAUCGUGGAUCAGAAUGCCACGGUGAAUACGUUCCCGGGCCUUGUACACACCGCCCGUCACACCAUGGGAGUGGGUUGCAAAAGAAGUAGGUAGCUUAACCUCCGGGAGGGCGCUUACCACUUUGUGAUUCAUGACUGGGGUGAAGUCGUAACAAGGUAAGCGUAGAUGA
This 527-nucleotide ribosomal RNA is filed under the name uncultured bacterium. Its description in RNAcentral is "bacterial SSU rRNA". It matches the Rfam family "Bacterial small subunit ribosomal RNA", at positions 984 to 1509 of the family's 1533-position model. The record is from RNAcentral.